Long non-coding RNA from Melanotaenia boesemani (Boeseman's rainbowfish), 390 nucleotides. RefSeq lists it as uncharacterized. NCBI's taxonomy places the organism in Eukaryota, Metazoa, Chordata, Actinopteri, Atheriniformes, Melanotaeniidae. The transcript is spliced from 3 exons. The record is from RefSeq and is a predicted model, not a curated record.
UAAGAGGGAACAUUUCUGUGAUCCGCCAUAGCGAGCUGCGCUCACUGCGACCUCACCAGUGGCUAACAGGCCCAAACAAAGACACAGUUAUUGAGCCUCUUUCAGCUUUCUGCCAACCAGUCCAGCGUUGGAAAGAACAUUUCCAUCCUUCAUCAUUACACAGCAGGUGGAAAACUUUGUGGGAAACGCGCUGAGCUCAGUGGACACGGCCUCUCCAAGAUCAGCUGUGACGACUACCAGGCCAUUCUGUCCUUUGUAAACACUGACAGAGCCACUGGAAGCUGCUGCUCACUGAUACUUUCUGCAAACAUCACUUUAUAUUAACUCUGUUUAUAUGAUUUAUAAAGUUGUUCUGAGUCUUAUUAUGUGCUUUAUAAAAGCUUUUUUCUA